GGAGUGAUGCCGAAGUGGUCAUAACGGUGCUGACUCGAAAUCAGUUGGAGGCUUUGUCUCACGUGGGUUCGAAUCCCACUCACUCCGCCA
Molecule: transfer RNA, 90 nt
Filed under: Clostridia bacterium
Lineage: Bacteria; Bacillati; Bacillota; Clostridia
Description: tRNA-Ser
Rfam family: tRNA
About the family: Transfer RNA (tRNA) molecules are approximately 80 nucleotides in length. Their secondary structure includes four short double-helical elements and three loops (D, anti-codon, and T loops). Further hydrogen bonds mediate the characteristic L-shaped molecular structure. tRNAs have two regions of fundamental functional importance: the anti-codon, which is responsible for specific mRNA codon recognition, and the 3' end, to which the tRNAs corresponding amino acid is attached (by aminoacyl-tRNA synthetases). tRNAs cope with the degeneracy of the genetic code in two manners: having more than one tRNA (with a specific anti-codon) for a particular amino acid; and 'wobble' base-pairing, i.e. permitting non-standard base-pairing at the 3rd anti-codon position.
Source: RNAcentral